GACGAACGCUGGCGGCGUGCUUAACACAUGCAAGUCGAACGGAAAGGCCCUGCUUUUGUGGGGUGCUCGAGUGGCGAACGGGUGAGUAACACGUGAGUAACCUGCCCUUGACUUUGGGAUAACUUCAGGAAACUGGGGCUAAUACCGGAUAGGAGCUCCUGCUGCAUGGUGGGGGUUGGAAAGUUUCGGCGGUUGGGGAUGGACUCGGGGCUUAUCAGCUUGUUGGUGGGGUAGUGGCUUACCAAGGCAUUGACGGGUAGCCGGCCUGAGAGGGUGAACGGGCACAUGGGGACUGAGAUACGGCCCAGACUCGUACGUGAGGCAGCAGUGGGGAGUAUUGCACAGUGGGCGGAAGCCUGAUGCGGCGACGCCGGGUGCGGGAUGACGGCCUUCGGGUUGUAAACCGCUUUCGCCUGUGACGAAGCGUGAGUGACGGUAAUGAGUAAAGAAGCACCGGCUAACUACGUG
Molecule: ribosomal RNA, 468 nt
Filed under: uncultured bacterium
Lineage: Bacteria
Description: partial 16S ribosomal RNA
Rfam family: Bacterial small subunit ribosomal RNA
Source: RNAcentral